Molecule: ribosomal RNA, 505 nt
Filed under: uncultured bacterium
Lineage: Bacteria
Description: partial 16S ribosomal RNA
Rfam family: Bacterial small subunit ribosomal RNA
Source: RNAcentral
GACGAACGCUGGCGGCGUGCCUAAUACAUGCAAGUAGAACGCACAGUUUAUACCGUAGCUUGCUACACCAUAGACUGUGAGUUGCGAACGGGUGAGUAACGCGUAGGUAACCUGCCUGGUAGCGGGGGAUAACUAUUGGAAACGAUAGCUAAUACCGCAUAAUAUUGAUUAUUGCAUGAUAAUUAAUUGAAAGGUGCAAUUGCACCACUACCAGAUGGACCUGCGUUGUAUUAGCUAGUAGGUGAGGUAACGGCUCACCUAGGCGACGAUACAUAGCCGACCUGAGAGGGUGAUCGGCCACACUGGGACGGAGACACGGCCCAGACUCCUACGGGAGGCAGCAGUAGGGAAUCUUCGGCAAUGGACGAAAGUCUGACCGAGCAACGCCGCGUGAGUGAAGAAGGUUUUCGGAUCGUAAAGCUCUGUUGUAAGAGAAGAACGGGUGUGAGAGUGGAAAGUUCACACUGUGACGGUAUCUUACCAGAAAGGGACGGCUAACUACGUG